UACGGAGGGUGCGAGCGUUAUCCGGAAUUACUGGGUUUAAAGGGUGCGUAGGCGGCCAUGUAAGUCAGGAGUGAAAGUUUGCGGCUCAACCGUAAAAUUGCUUUUGAUACUGCAUGGCUGGAAUCAGGAUGAGGUCAGCGGAAUGUGGCAUGUAGCGGUGAAAUGCAUAGAUAUGCCAUAGAACGCCAAUUGCGAAGGCAGCUGGCUAGACCUGUAUUGACGCUGAGGCACGAAAGCGUGGGGAGCGAACAGG
RNAcentral lists this ribosomal RNA (253 nucleotides) under uncultured bacterium. RNAcentral describes it as "partial 16S ribosomal RNA". It matches the Rfam family "Bacterial small subunit ribosomal RNA", at positions 524 to 776 of the family's 1533-position model. The record is from RNAcentral.